GAGGUGAAGACCGGGCGUCAACCCCGGAACUGCCUUUGAAACUAGGUAACUAGAAUCCUGGAGAGGUGAGUGGAAUUCCGAGUGUAGAGGUGAAAUUCGUAGAUAUUCGGAAGAACACCAGUGGCGAAGGCGGCUCACUGGACAGGUAUUGACGCUCGAGGUGCGAAAGCGUGGGGACGCAAACAGGAUUAGAUACCCUGGUAG
Molecule: ribosomal RNA, 204 nt
Filed under: uncultured bacterium
Lineage: Bacteria
Description: partial 16S ribosomal RNA
Rfam family: Bacterial small subunit ribosomal RNA
Source: RNAcentral